GCGUGUUUGGCGGCGUCGUUUAACGGUGCCUCUAGUCUACUGCGCUCCGUCUGAGCGGCGCCAUGAGAGCGGUUACGCCGGCGGCUCUCCUGGAUAACGCCCGCAUAUGUGCCCUCGCAAAUCCUAUUGUAGUGGCGGUCGGGGCGCUGGUCAUCCGGCCGUUCCCCUUUGUGGUGUGGUACGACGUCUCCGUCGAAGCUGCAUUGUACUCCCACGCUCGCAUCGUCGAGCGGAGUUUCCUCGUCCAGCGGCAGAUGGAAGGUGUCCUAGAGCUAGCUUGCACGGAAGUUGACUCAUGAUAUGGGUGUUAAUCUCGUCGACAAUCUCGUUUCUUGGGAACAUGAUCGCUCUUUCUUCUAGGUAUGUUCUAUGAGUGUACCAGCUUUGUAAGUCAGGGAAUUAGAUGCUAUUAACAAUGGAUGUUAUGGGGUUAUCUCCUUCAUGUAAAAUAAGGUCUUCUGGGGAUGCUAAUCCAAUCUUCUUCAUUUGUUGUUGUUGCUGCACCAUUGCCGAUGUUUUGCAUCCAGCUUGGAAAUUCCGUCGUCUUUUCUUUCUUUAUUGGACUACCUUCAACUGAAUUCAGACACAUAUUUUUUGUGAGUCGGUACUCC
This is a long non-coding RNA of Aegilops tauschii subsp. strangulata, 611 nucleotides long. RefSeq lists it as uncharacterized. Lineage: Eukaryota; Viridiplantae; Streptophyta; Magnoliopsida; Poales; Poaceae. The record is from RefSeq and is a predicted model, not a curated record.